This is a long non-coding RNA of Glycine soja, 1302 nucleotides long. RefSeq lists it as uncharacterized. Lineage: Eukaryota; Viridiplantae; Streptophyta; Magnoliopsida; Fabales; Fabaceae. The transcript has 7 exons. The record is from RefSeq and is a predicted model, not a curated record.
GAUCAAUGUAAGUUGUAUCCUUUUAUUAUGUACCUUCUGCAUCAACUUUUUCCCCUUCUCUUCCUCUCCGGCGGCCCCUUCACCUCAAAGUUCCACCGCUUCUGGCAAGCCUCCAUCUCCUCCGGCGAAGCUCCAUCGGUUUCGUCAAUCCUCCACCGCCGCCAUUCCCACCUUCGACGUUGCCGCGUGCCUCGCCUUCACCGCAAAGAACGGCAUUAACGUUUUGCCACAAAGAACAACCGCAAGGAGGCUCGGUCAUCUUGACCGCUGGCAACGAACGAGAUCCUAGUCGCGACAAUGAGCUCCCACUGUAUUUGCCGCUUUUCGCCUCUGGUGACGACACCUCUAGCGGCGGCAACGGCGAGUGACUUAUCCACAUCAACACCGACGUAAAAAAAUCAAAGCUUUUUCAGCAAUUUUGUUUCUGGAGAAGUGCGAGAAGAACUCCAACUCCGAUGACAAUCUCAAUUGUACUACCAAAAUCUUACUCAACAUGAUUGUUCCCAGUGGCUCGAGUGGCGGAGAGGCAUCGAUUGUUGCGGAAUUGGUGGAAGUGGAGGAAAAUUCAAGCAGGAAAAUGCAGACAUUGCGUAUUCCUCCUGUCAUAACGGUCAACAAAACUUCUGCAUAUGCCUUGGAUCAGUUAAUAUACUCACAUACAUACAUACGAGAUGUUCCUUAUAAACCUGAAGAGUAUUAUGUUAAGACACGCAAAUGCGAGCCAGAUGCUGGUGCAAAUGUCGUGAAGAUAUGUGAAAGGCAAACCAUGUUUAUUGCUAUUUUAUUAUGAACUAGACACUGACUAGAGCUUAGACAAUGCAAAUUUCACGGCUUGGUUUCUGCUAAUUGUGUUGCAGACUGCGAGAUGAAGAGGGUCAUAUUAUUGAGUACACUCAGCCAAAUAUGUUGUCCAUGUGGGCCCCAGCGGCGGAUGCCUUCAUCAUGUGGAAACUUUUUUGACAAAUUGACGAAAGGAAAGACCAACACUGCACAUUGUGUGCGUUUCCCUGGUGAUUGGUUGACGAAUUAAGUCGGCGAGGAUCACUGUCUUGAAAGCAUUUCUGUUGAAGGGAGGCCAAUGAAUUUUCCGGCGGCUUUUCUUUCAACCGUUGUACACCGUACUACUAUUAUUUAGUUCAUUGUCAAUCCUCUCAAAAUUAAUUGAUUUUCCUAUCAGCUAUUAAUCUAUUCAACGACUGAGCAUUUGGGUUUUGAAAAACAAUCACCCUAAUAUUCUUAAAGAUAGUCCUAUAUACCAACGUUAAUAAUUUCAAGUUUCAACAGUAAUAACUCGCAGGAAUC